AUGAAAAAAUUAGUAUUUAUAACUAUAAGUUUUUUAGGAAUUCGGCAAAUCAUAAUUUCAAUAGUUUAUCAAAAACAUAGUUUUAUGUAUUUAUAUAAAAUAUUUUCUGCCCAAUGUUUUUAAAAAAUCAAUGGCCGCAGUACCUUGACUGUGCUAAGGUAGCAUAAUCAAUUGGCUUUUAAUUAAGGUCUAGAAUGAAUGGGAUAAUGAAGUUAAUCUGUCUUAGUUGCUUUUAUUAAAAUUUAUUUAAAAGGUGAAAAUACCUUUUUUAAAAAUAAAGACGAGAAGACCCUUAGAAUUUUUAUUAUUUUUUUUUGUUGGGGCGACAGUUUAAAAUAUAAUCUUAAAUUUAUUGUAUAUAUAACGAUUUUUUUAAUAAAAAUUAAAUUACCUUAGGGAUAACAGCAUAAUUAAUUAUUUAGUUUGUGACCUCGAUGUUGGACUAGGAACUAUAUGGCUAACCGUCUAAUUAGAUUUGUUCUGUUCGAACAAUUUUAUCCUACAUGAUCUGAGUUCAGACCGGCGCAAGCCAGGUCAGUUUCUAUCUUAUUUUAUUCUAAUUGUAGUACGAAAGGAUCUAAUUGGUUUUUUUUCUU
Molecule: ribosomal RNA, 596 nt
Filed under: Planorbis planorbis
Lineage: Eukaryota; Metazoa; Mollusca; Gastropoda; Planorbidae
Description: partial large subunit ribosomal RNA
Rfam family: Bacterial large subunit ribosomal RNA
Source: RNAcentral